This 407-nucleotide ribosomal RNA is filed under the name uncultured bacterium. Its description in RNAcentral is "partial 16S ribosomal RNA". It matches the Rfam family "Bacterial small subunit ribosomal RNA", at positions 30 to 526 of the family's 1533-position model. The record is from RNAcentral.
AUUGAACGCUGGCGGCAGGCCUAACACAUGCAAGUCGAACGGAGCGGCGGGCGGGGGUGGAAUGCCUAUGAAUCUGACUGGUAGUGGGGGAGAACGACCGGAAACGGGCGCUGAUACUGCAUACUCUCAGAUGAGACUAGGUCGGGUUUGCGAGUUGGUGGGGUAAAGGCGUACCAAGGCGACGAUCCGUAACUGGUCUGAGAGGAUGAUCAGUCACACUGGAACGGAGACACGGUCCACGCGCCGACGGGAGGCAGCAGUGGGGAAUAUUGUGCAAUGGGCGAAAGCCUGAUGCAGCCAUGCGGCGUGUGUGGAGAAGGUCUUCGGUUUGUAAAGCACUUUAAGUUAGGAGGCGUUACCUGCAGAAUAAGCACCGGCUAACUUCGUGCCAGCAGCCGCGGUAAUAC